GAUGAACGCUAGCUACAGGCUUAACACAUGCAAGUCGAGGGGCAGCAUGGUCUUAGCUUGCUAAGGCCGAUGGCGACCGGCGCACGGGUGAGUAACACGUAUCCAACCUGCCGUCUACUCUUGGACAGCCUUCUGAAAGGAAGAUUAAUACAAGAUGGCAUCAUGAGUUCACAUGUUCACAUGAUUAACGGUAUUCCGGUAGACGAUGGGGAUGCGUUCCAUUAGAUAGUAGGCGGGGUAACGGCCCACCUAGUCUUCGAUGGAUAGGGGUUCUGAGAGGAAGGUCCCCCACAUUGGAACUGAGACACGGUCCAAACUCCUACGGGAGGCAGCAGUGAGGAAUAUUGGUCAAUGGGCGAGAGCCUGAACCAGCCAAGUAGCGUGAAGGAUGACUGCCCUAUGGGUUGGAAACUUCUUUUAUAAAGGAAUAAAGUCGGGUAUGUAUACCCGUUUGCAUGUACUUUAUGAAUAAGGAUCGGCUAACUCCGU
Molecule: ribosomal RNA, 489 nt
Filed under: uncultured bacterium
Lineage: Bacteria
Description: partial 16S ribosomal RNA
Rfam family: Bacterial small subunit ribosomal RNA
Source: RNAcentral